AUUUAGCGAGCUGAGUGGGGAGGAGAGAGGGACAGAGAGCCUGCUUGCUUUAAAGGAACCAACCGGACAGGAGCCGCUUACACUCGUGUAAGCGGCUCCUCUCCCGCUUUGCUCCUUUAAAGAAGCAGGCUCUCUGUCCCUCUCUCCUCCCCACUCAGCGGCUCUUCUC
This 169-nucleotide microRNA precursor is filed under the name Podarcis lilfordi (Lilford's wall lizard). Lineage: Eukaryota; Metazoa; Chordata; Lepidosauria; Squamata; Lacertidae. The record is from RNAcentral.